This 73-nucleotide transfer RNA is filed under the name Salvia splendens (bonfire salvia). Its description in RNAcentral is "tRNA-Tyr". It matches the Rfam family "tRNA". Rfam says of the family: Transfer RNA (tRNA) molecules are approximately 80 nucleotides in length. Their secondary structure includes four short double-helical elements and three loops (D, anti-codon, and T loops). Further hydrogen bonds mediate the characteristic L-shaped molecular structure. tRNAs have two regions of fundamental functional importance: the anti-codon, which is responsible for specific mRNA codon recognition, and the 3' end, to which the tRNAs corresponding amino acid is attached (by aminoacyl-tRNA synthetases). tRNAs cope with the degeneracy of the genetic code in two manners: having more than one tRNA (with a specific anti-codon) for a particular amino acid; and 'wobble' base-pairing, i.e. permitting non-standard base-pairing at the 3rd anti-codon position. The record is from RNAcentral. Lineage: Eukaryota; Viridiplantae; Streptophyta; Magnoliopsida; Lamiales; Lamiaceae.
CCGACCUUAGCUCAAUUGGUAGAGUGGAGGACUGUAGAUCCCUAGGUCACUGGUUAGAUUACGUUAGGUCGGA